CGGUCAAAUCACGCUGAAACACCGGUUCUCGUUCGAUCACCGAAGUUAAGCAUCGUAGAGCCAGGUCAGUACUUAGAUGGGGACCGCUUGGGAACACCUGGUACUGUAAG
Non-coding RNA from Acanthosepion pharaonis, 110 nucleotides. Lineage: Eukaryota; Metazoa; Mollusca; Cephalopoda; Sepiida; Sepiidae. The record is from the annotation of a GenBank genome assembly.